UGGGGAAUAUUGCACAAUGGGCGCAAGCCUGAUGCAGCCAUGCCGCGUGUGUGAAGAAGGCCUUCGGGUUGUAAAGCACUUUCAGCGAGGAGGAAGGUGGUGAGCUUAAUACGCUCAUCAAUUGACGUUACUCGCAGAAGAAGCACCGGCUAACUCCGUGCCAGCAGCCGCGGUAAUACGGAGGGUGCAAGCGUUAAUCGGAAUUACUGGGCGUAAAGCGCACGCAGGCGGUUUGUUAAGUCAGAUGUGAAAUCCCCGGGCUCAACCUGGGAACUGCAUUUGAAACUGGCAAGCUAGAGUCUCGUAGAGGGGGGUAGAAUUCCAGGUGUAGCGGUGAAAUGCGUAGAGAUCUGGAGGAAUACCGGUGGCGAAGGCGGCCCCCUGGACGAAGACUGAUGCUCAGGUGCGAAAGCGUGGGGAGCAAAUUUUCAGGAUUAGAUACCCUGGUAGUCCACGCUGUAAACGAUGUCGAUUUUGGAGGUUGUGCCCUUGAGGCGUGGCUUCCGGAGCUAACGCGUUAAA
This 522-nucleotide ribosomal RNA is filed under the name uncultured bacterium. RNAcentral describes it as "partial 16S ribosomal RNA". It matches the Rfam family "Bacterial small subunit ribosomal RNA", at positions 355 to 864 of the family's 1533-position model. The record is from RNAcentral.